Long non-coding RNA from Megalops cyprinoides (Indo-Pacific tarpon), 581 nucleotides. RefSeq lists it as uncharacterized. Lineage: Eukaryota; Metazoa; Chordata; Actinopteri; Elopiformes; Megalopidae. The record is from RefSeq and is a predicted model, not a curated record. The transcript is spliced from 3 exons.
ACCAAUUGUCAAAAAUCUCAGAAACUGUCACGUUAGUUAAUAUGGUAGGUAAAGCUAAAUUAUGGAGCGAGGUAAAACUGUAACAUACAACAAACGUGGCAACGGAACUCUGUAUGGACAUCCAGAUUCAUAAGACGAGGGUCCUGUUGGCGAUCUACAGACUUUGGGUAAAAAAAAGACGCAAGGAAACAGUGACACCCACAGCUGCUGGCUGAGUCUCGUGGCCAGAGAUGAAAAACUUUGCAAAUAUUAACCUCAGUAACACACAACUAACUGAAAAUCUAAUGACAAAGACACAUGCAAUGAUAGAAUUGAAAACUGAAAAACAACCUGGGAAUUAUUGCCGGAAUCGAAGGUCACCUUUCAGGGGAGCGCAUUGAGAGGUGGAGUUGAGAUACGAGGAUCAACACAACCCGGUCAAACAGACGUCCCCAGGCUGAGCCCAGAUUACACCUGCAACCCGCUGUUUCCUGCAAGAGGAGAUUACCCACUGAUCUCUCGGCCAAAGAAACUCUCACAUGUGACACAGGCAUGGGUGGUAUUUUUGGAGGCUUGGAAAUCCAUUGCGUCCCUAAGUUUUG